Long non-coding RNA from Dendroctonus ponderosae (mountain pine beetle), 332 nucleotides. RefSeq lists it as uncharacterized. Lineage: Eukaryota; Metazoa; Arthropoda; Insecta; Coleoptera; Curculionidae. The transcript is spliced from 2 exons. The record is from RefSeq and is a predicted model, not a curated record.
UAUGAUGCUUAUGCAAUAUCAGCAUGUUUCAGUGAUUUCUAUUGGACCUUUUGGCCCGAUGACUGUUGAAUCCGUUAUCUCAGUAAUCAAAGCUGCUUACUCUUACAUGAUGCUGAUGCGGACAUACAAAUAGUCAACUACGUUUAAUCCUAUGCGCUUACUAAAUAUUAGUUGGAAUGAACUUUAGUUGUGGCAAACCACUUUGAUUAGACGCCUAGUUACACACGACACAAAGAACUAUCGACCAAUUUUGUCCACUGUCGGUAGCAAACAGAAUAUUUAUACAUCUUGUCGAAACAAAACUAGAGAAUAAAAAUGAUUAUAUAACCUUU